UUUCACACUGUCAAGAAAAGCUUCUAUCGAGUUUAAAGGCGCCCGUACCGUAAACCGACACAGGUGGGUGAGGAGAGUAUCCUAAGGCCAGCGAGAGAACUAUUGUUAAGGAACUCGGCAAAAUGACCCCGUAACUUAGGGAGAAGGGGUGCCUGUCUAUGACAGGCCGCAGAGAAUAGGCCCAAGCGACUGUUUACCAAAAACACAGGUUUCUGCUAAGUCGUAAGACGAUGUAUAGGAGCUGACGCCUGCCCGGUGCUGGAAGGUUAAGGGGAUCUGUUAGAGCAAUCGAAGCAGUGAACUUAAGCCCCAGUAAACGGCGGCCGUAACCAUAACGGUCCUAAGGUAGCGAAAUUCCUUGUCGGGUAAGUUCCGACCCGCACGAAAGGCGUAACGAUUUGGGCACUGUCUCAACAAUAGACUCGGUGAAAUUGUAAUCCCGGUGAAGAUGCCGGGUACCUGCGACAGGACGGAAAGACCCCAUGGAGUUUUACUGUAGCUUGACGUUGGGUCUUGGUACUACAUGUACAGGAUAGGUGGGAGACUAUGAAGCAUGGACGCCAGUCUGUGUGGAGUCAUCCUUGGGAUACCACCCUUGUAGUACUGGGAUCCUAACCAUAGGCCUUGAAUCAGGUCUUGGAACACCGUCAGGUGGGCAGUUUGACUGGGGCGGUCGCCUCCUAAAAAGUAACGGAGGCGCUCAAAGGUUUCCUCAGCACGGUCGGAAAUCGUGCGAAGAGUGUAAAGGCAAAAGGAAGCUUGAUUGCAAGACAUACAGGUCGAGCAAGGACGAAAGUCGGACUUAGUGAUCCGGUGGUACCGCAUGGAAGGGCCAUCGCUCAACGGAUAAAAGCUACCCUGGGGAUAACAGGCUUAUCUCCCCCAAGAGUCCACAUCGACGGGGAGGUUUGGCACCUCGAUGUCGGCUCAUCACAUCCUGGGGCUGUAGUAGGUCCCAAGGGUUGGGCUGUUCGCCCAUUAAAGUGGUACGCGAGCUGGGUUCAGAACGUCGUGAGACAGUUCGGUCCCUAUCCGUCGCAGGCGUAGGAAAUUUGAGAAGACCUGUCCUUAGUACGAGAGGACCGGGAUGGACGUACCUCUGGUGUACCAGUUGUUCUGCCAAGGGCAUGGCUGGGUAGCUAUGUACGGAAUGGAUAAGCGCUGAAAGCAUCUAAGCGCGAAGCCAACUUCAAGAUAAGAUUUCCCACCGUAAGGGUAAGACCCCAGGAAGACUACCUGGUUGAUAGGUCGAAGGUGUAAGUGCAGUAAUGUAUUUAGCUUAUCGAUACUAAUAGGUCGAGGACUUGACCU
Molecule: ribosomal RNA, 1311 nt
Filed under: metagenome
Description: bacterial LSU rRNA
Rfam family: Bacterial large subunit ribosomal RNA
Source: RNAcentral